Xylaria sp. FL1777 is the source of this 99-nucleotide non-coding RNA. The record is from the annotation of a GenBank genome assembly. Lineage: Eukaryota; Fungi; Ascomycota; Sordariomycetes; Xylariales; Xylariaceae.
GGUCUGGUGGUCUAGUGGUAUGAUUCUCGCUUAGGGUUCACCUUAAAGUAUGAAAGCUUGGCUUGCGAGAGGUCCCGGGUUCAAUCCCCGGCCAGACCC